UGUAAAUCAUUACAUGGGCCUUAAAAAUUUCCAGCCCGUUUAAAAUAUAUCAAGGCCUUAUCCAAUUGAAGUAAGGAAAAGAGGAAACCCUAGCUAUAUAUACAAGAGAGAUCAGCUAACAGAGCCGCGUAUCAGAGUUCGGCGAAUUCACCAUGAGAGCCAAGUGGAAGAAGAAGCGUAUGAGGAGGUUGAAGAGGAAGCGCAGAAAGAUGAGACAGAGAUCUAAGUAGAGUCUGUUGUCAUCGUAUUGCCUUAUCUAUAAAUCUCUGUGUUUCCCUUUCUUGUUUCUUGAACCAGUUAUGUUUUUAAUUUUUUACGUUUAAGUUGCAAACAAUCUUCUGUAGAACAUGUCUUGCUCACUCGUUUUAAUAUCUACUACAAGCAGAGAUUUAUCUUAAUAAUUUUCUGGA
Long non-coding RNA from Raphanus sativus (radish), 410 nucleotides. RefSeq lists it as uncharacterized. The record is from RefSeq and is a predicted model, not a curated record. The transcript is spliced from 2 exons. Lineage: Eukaryota; Viridiplantae; Streptophyta; Magnoliopsida; Brassicales; Brassicaceae.